GUGGGGAAUAUUGGACAAUGGGGGGAACCCUGAUCCAGCCAUGCCGCGUGUGUGAAGAAGGCCUUUUGGUUGUAAAGCACUUUAAGCGAGGAGGAGGCUUACCUGGUUAAUACCUAGGAUAAGUGGACGUUACUCGCAGAAUAAGCACCGGCUAACUCUGUGCCAGCAGCCGCGGUAAUACAGAGGGUGCGAGCGUUAAUCGGAUUUACUGGGCGUAAAGCGCGCGUAGGUGGUUAAUUAAGUCAAAUGUGAAAUCCCCGAGCUUAACUUGGGAAUUGCAUUCGAUACUGGUUGGCUAGAGUAUGGGAGAGGAUGGUAGAAUUCCAGGUGUAGCGGUGAAAUGCGUAGAGAUCUGGAGGAAUACCGAUGGCGAAGGCAGCCAUCUGGCCUAAUACUGACACUGAGGUGCGAAAGCAUGGGGAGCAAACAGGAUUAGAAACCCGUGUAGUCC
RNAcentral lists this ribosomal RNA (451 nucleotides) under uncultured bacterium. RNAcentral's name for it is "partial 16S ribosomal RNA". It matches the Rfam family "Bacterial small subunit ribosomal RNA", at positions 354 to 796 of the family's 1533-position model. The record is from RNAcentral.